GGCAGUGGUAGCUCAGUGGUUAAGACACUUGACUUCUGAUUGGUAGGUCGUGAGUUCAAAUCCCAGCGCUGCCA
Molecule: non-coding RNA, 74 nt
Organism: Pangasianodon gigas (Mekong giant catfish)
Lineage: Eukaryota; Metazoa; Chordata; Actinopteri; Siluriformes; Pangasiidae
Source: the annotation of a GenBank genome assembly